CAAAACAGGAAAAGAACAAAAAUAAUGGCACACAAGUUUACUUCUAACCAUGGUUUAAUUCGCUGAUUCACGCCAGUAAACGUGGUGCUCAGAUAAGUCGAUCGGCGGCGAAGAAAAAUGAGAAGAUUUAGCCCAUCUAAACAACCCCUAAGUACGCAGCUCGUGGGUGUCCCGAGCAUCAACGUCGGAGGCAGAACGUGAAUGUCGGAGCUGGGAGAGACGAGACGGUGGCCGGCGCUGGGAGAGACGAGACGGCGCGGCGGCGCUGAUGCGGAGACCCGCAUCGAAACUACCGUCCGAUCAAAUCGUGCGGACCAGAUCGUCCCAAGGAAAAGCGUGUUUCCAACUUACGGGCUACAUAGUUCCUCGAGGACUCACAGCCCAUCAGACUUCCAAAAGCAGCCUGCUUUUCAAAGGCCCGUCAAUCCUAAAAGUACUCCCUUCGUUUCACAGUCAGUAAUGUUGUAGCGGCCAUCAGUUGACAUGGUGACUGUCAUGUUUGAUGGAGCUGUCCCAGGUGGCGCUGAAAUACUGGUAAACAAAUAAAAAGGAUGAAUGCAGCAGUCAAACCAAGAGGCAUUUGUAAUGAACGGGGUGGGGAGCUUACCAUUUUGUUCCGAUGAUGGUUGUUUUAUUCAUGGUGAAUAGAUACAGCUUUUAUCAAGGGCAUUUUUGUGUGGUGGUCGUCUUUAGGUAGCAUUUCAAUCAUUUUUCAAAGAAACAGAAUUUCUAAAGCAAAAUUGAUGAGACGGUGUUGGCGUUGAUGAGGUUUCCUUGGCUGACAGCAGUAUGGCAUACAAGUAAGCAUUUAAAGAUGUGUUUGUUAGUUGCUGUUAUAGGUAUUAGGUGUUAUAUGUUUACGUGAUGUUCCCUGAUCAGUCUGCGCGCUGGUUCGAGGUCUUCAGAAAAAGUCCUUGUAAAAAUAGAAAUUCUAGGUUAGUCACUUAUACUGGUGGAUGAUCUGAACUAUGCUAUGUUGUUUUGGCAGUCAGUAAAUUAUGCUCUAUAACCUGCCUGGGAGGCGUCGCUGCUAUCUGAGCUUGUUGUGUCGGUGGGGGCAUGUGCAGUAGGCUGUUUUUGUCGGCCAUAUUGGGCGAAGAAAGUCAUUUUUGCAGCAGAUGAUGUUUUUACGAGUGAAGUGUACCAGCGGUCUCUAAACUUGUGUGCAUAUGUCAUCUAGGUCCCUAAACUCUCAAAAUAUAUUUUUGAGUCCCUGAACUUGUCUGAGGGUGUCAUAUAGGUCCAAUCGGGCUUCGACCGUUUCAUCCACUGACGUGGCAUGUCACGGUGACGCCUACAUGUUGUUAGGGUCAUGUAGAUCACACAUGUCAAUAUCUCUCUAGCAUAUACUGCAUACACAGGCCACUAAUGCAAACCCUUGAUAAACAUU
Molecule: long non-coding RNA, 1390 nt
Organism: Oryza brachyantha (malo sina)
Lineage: Eukaryota; Viridiplantae; Streptophyta; Magnoliopsida; Poales; Poaceae
Exons: 3
Source: RefSeq, a predicted model, not a curated record